CACGAAACUACCAUCCCAUUCCUUCAGACAUGAUAGAAUGUCCGGUGAUGAAUUUGAUCCGAGCUCUGUGUGUUCUGUCUAUAGUGGUGAAAUACUUCUCAUAAGGAGUCAUAUAUAUGGUUGGAGGUACUGGUGUAUAUCAUCCACAUAUCCUUGUCAAAUGUCACAGGACCAACAUUGAUUGCUAACAUUUGAUACUCAGGUGAAAGCCUCUCUCUCCCAUCUUGGUUUCAGCAAAAGACUUCCCAGCCGUCCGAUCCCAUAUAGUGCAUCGUUCUCUAUCCAUUCUAGCUUCCAAGCCGCUCCUCAGCAUCUGAGAAACACUCAAUGCAUUUCCCACGAGCCCUGGAGCGUAAAGAACAUUCUUGAUCGUCUUCUUACCUUCUUGAGUCAUGAUAGUCACAUCUCCAGUUCCUUCUGCCAUGGUAGUAGAUCCAUUUGUGAAUCUAAUCCUAGCUUUCCGCGAUCUGUCUAAAGUGGUGAAAAACUUCUCAUGUGAAGUUAUAUGAUUCGAGUACUUCGUUUAGCAUAUCCCAAAGAUCUUUAGCCGAAGUAGCCGAGAGAGUCUUUCUAAACACAGAAUCUGUGAGACUAGACUGCAAUAUUUGGAGUGCUUUCAUGUCUUCUCUCGCAAGCUCUCUCCAUUUGCAAAGCUCUUCUGCUUGAAUCGUCGCGGCUAACUUUGGAAUCUUCGAUGGAUCCGGCGGGACUCCGUUCGCGACCACAUCCCAAAGUCCUUCCUCCGUUAGGAUGGUUUUCAACAUCGCCGACCAGACUUCCAUGUUAAGGUCAUCGGAAAUUAUGUCUUGUAGAUUAGGUUUUGUCGUCGCCGACCAAUCGCCUUUCAUUAUCAUUUUAGUAUCUCUGACAAAGCGAAUAAACUAUUUCCCUCAAACCCAAAAAGUAUCUAUUUUUUUUUUUAUUGUAAAAAA
This is a long non-coding RNA of Arabidopsis thaliana (thale cress), 932 nucleotides long. RefSeq annotates it as other RNA. Lineage: Eukaryota; Viridiplantae; Streptophyta; Magnoliopsida; Brassicales; Brassicaceae. The transcript has 3 exons. The record is from RefSeq.